RNAcentral lists this ribosomal RNA (454 nucleotides) under uncultured Barnesiella sp. Its description in RNAcentral is "partial 16S ribosomal RNA". It matches the Rfam family "Bacterial small subunit ribosomal RNA", at positions 341 to 792 of the family's 1533-position model. Lineage: Bacteria; Pseudomonadati; Bacteroidota; Bacteroidia; Bacteroidales; Barnesiellaceae. The record is from RNAcentral.
ACGGGAGGCAGCAGUGAGGAAUAUUGGUCAAUGGGCGGAAGCCUGAACCAGCCAAGUCGCGUGAAGGAAGACGGUAUUAUGUAUUGUAAACUUCUUUAGCAGUAGAGCAAUAACCCCCUUGCGAGGGGGGAUGAGAGUAUACUGAGAAUAAGCAUCGGCUAACUCCGUGCCAGCAGCCGCGGUAAUACGGAGGAUGCGAGCGUUAUCCGGAUUUAUUGGGUUUAAAGGGUGCGUAGGCGGCCCCUUAAGUCGGCGGUGAAAUUUCCGGGCUCAACCCGGUCACUGCCGUCGAAACUGGGGGGCUUGAGUGCGUUUGGGGUGGCUGGAAUGUGCGGUGUAGCGGUGAAAUGCAUAGAUAUCGCACAGAACGCCGAUCGCGGAGGCAGGUCACCAAGCCGCAACUGACGCUGAGGCACGAAAGCGCGGGGAUCGAACAGGAUUAGAUACCCUGGUA